GUUAUAUAGUCAAGUGAUUAAGCGUACACGGUGGAUGCCUUGGCAGCCAGAGGCGAUGAAGGACGUUGUAGCUUGCGAUAAGCUUCGGGGAGGUAGCAAACAACCUUUGAUCCGGAGAUUUCCGAAUGGGGAAACCCACCUGUCAUAAGGCAGGUAUCGCAUA
This 163-nucleotide ribosomal RNA is filed under the name Alcanivorax sp. HI0013. RNAcentral's name for it is "partial 23S ribosomal RNA". It matches the Rfam family "Bacterial large subunit ribosomal RNA", at positions 1 to 157 of the family's 2925-position model. The record is from RNAcentral. Lineage: Bacteria; Pseudomonadati; Pseudomonadota; Gammaproteobacteria; Oceanospirillales; Alcanivoracaceae.